UACGGAGGGUGCGAGCGUUAAUCGGAAUCACUGGGCGUAAAGCGCACGUAGGCGGCGCAUCAAGUCAGACGUGAAAGCCCUCGGCUCAACCGAGGAAUUGCGUUUGAAACUGGUGUGCUGGAGUCUCGGAGAGGUGAGUGGAAUUGCGAGUGUAGAGGUGAAAUUCGUAGAUAUUCGCAGGAACACCAGUGGCGAAGGCGGCCAACUGGACGAGUACUGACGCUGAGGUG
RNAcentral lists this ribosomal RNA (230 nucleotides) under uncultured microorganism. RNAcentral's name for it is "partial 16S ribosomal RNA". It matches the Rfam family "Bacterial small subunit ribosomal RNA", at positions 524 to 753 of the family's 1533-position model. The record is from RNAcentral.